AUAAAUAAAUAAAUAAGAUAAUACAUUGGGAAUCAGAGUCUGUAGUCACACAUUCCAGAAAGGUAAGAGUCUUGGGGAUGGAGAGGUAGUCAGUUAUAGUGAAUAGGUAGCAUUCCUAGCUCUUGUCACCUGGAAAAAGGAAAAAUUAUCAUAUCACUUUCAUGAUUCCUAGGAUUCUCAUAUAUUAAAGGUUCUGUAAUUAGUUAUUUAGAUGGUUAGUUUUUAAGCCAAGCUCCUCCCUCCGUAACAGUUUUUACUGUUUAAGAAUCUGCAAUCUCUUCUUGAUUCCCUUGCCUGGCAGAGGCUAAGUCCCAGAGAAUUGAGUAAAACAUUUGCAAUCCCUGCCAUUGUGUUAGAAUUUAUUCAUUGUUCAGUGAGGAUGGGAUGGAGGGGAGCAGCCAGAAUGGGACUCUGAAGUGAGUUGUAAACAGAGGCCCAUGAGGGUGCUCAAGAAGUAUGGGAAGGAAGAGAGAAACGGAAGGGAGCAAGUGUGUAGGAGGGGAAAGGUCAGAGCUUUGAAAUAUAAGACUUUGAACUUGCAUUUAGUAAAUUUUAUAAAACAUGGAAUUUUUCCCACUGUGGAAAUAAAAACUGGUGGCUUAUGCUUAGGGGAAUGAAUAGCGGCAUAGAAUUGGAGAGUGAGUCACUGACUUAUCAGGGAGAGGUCAAACACUUGGUACAAACUUUCUCCAAUGCCUUAUUCUGUCAAAAAAAAUUAAAUGAGGGGUUGCUUUCAUCCUUGUGUCACUGUAUCAGCAUCUUUCUUGUAAAUGCAGAGUAUGGUGCAUUGACUUCCAUUGAUAUUCUCUUCCCCUUUAGGAACUCUUGUUCUCUUCUUCUGAUUUCCAAGGACACUUGUUUAGUGGUUUUGAGUUUCAGCUAUCAAAACUCUAAGUUCAAAAGGCAGAAUCAAUGUCACUGCAUAAUAGUUCACCAACAUGAUUCAUUUAUUUGUAAUGCUUAAAAAAGUUUCCCAGAGAACUUAGCAGAGUUUGAGUUUCUAAAAGUGGUUUCCUGGCAUAUCUGAUACCUUAGUAGGGCUUUUCAUCUUAGCUAAUCUCUUCCUGAGAUUACUUAACAGUCCAUUUACUUGGGCAAGGGCUACAACGUCCUGAGUCUCUAACUAUGCGUUGAGGGCAAAUGUGAAUAUUGAAGCAGAAGGCUAAAAUGUGAGUUUAUUACACUUAAUGUUGUUCUCUAUUAUAUUUCCUCAGGCUAUAUAUUUAGGAACAAGAAACAAAGUGCAGUAGAUGAUCCUAUGAUUACUAUAUCCACCCCUCAGCAACCUUGGAAAGUAUAGAUAGUAAUUCUGCAAUGACAUUUGUGCUACAAAUUUUUUUUUACCCCAUACACUUUUAGUGACUAUGCUUGGGGGUCCACUUACAUGUCUGUGCACAACAUCUUUUAGCCAAGUGACAGAUAGGGUGUUUCUACUCAAGAAAGUAGCAGCACUGCAGUUAAGUGUGUAGGAGCUGGAGUUCAGAUGGCCUGGGUCUACAUCCUGACUUCACCUUGAGUGCAGACCUGCCUACAGAGAGCCUGAGUUCCCCAACCAGAAGAAAGCACUUCCUAGAACUGAGUAUAUGCAUCAGUCCAAUGGUGAAGUUCAGCUUUCAAAGUUUUAUUUCCCAAAGCACCAAAGAGUAAAUAAGUUAGAAGAAGAGAAAAGCCUGCCACAGUGUCUUACUAAUGAAGAGGAUCUUGGCUGUUUUCAGGAUGUUCUUCACAAUAAGAUACAUCAGAGUAAGUAAGUGCCAUUUCUCAGUAUACACAUAAAUGCAGCUUGGUCUUAUUAAUCCUAUAAAAACAGCAACACAGUCUUCUCAUAUGCUGUCUUUCCCCCUUUCAGUUUCCAGUCUUCAGUGCAUAAUGACACUGUAGACAUAUCUGUCCUUCUUUCAUGAGGCCAAUUUAUUCCCUAUUAAUUAACCUCAAUGCUAAUUAGGUGAUUUGAGCUCUACUUGUAGAGUUUACAGAAAAUAACAACAUAUCCAUUAUGUCAGCAAUCAAAGCAAAACAAGAUUGGGAUGAUGCCAGUGAUCAAAGCUCAUCAGUGAGAUUCAGGGACAAGGAGAAGAGGGUGUUUUGACUUCAAAAGAAUUUUAAUGAUAGUGUUAGCAGUCAUUUGCUUAUUUGAAAGAGCCAUUUCAGAAGGAAUCCUCUGAAGAAUAAAAUGAAGGGGGAAGCUUUAGCUUUACCCCGUGCCACUUCACCUUGAUUCUUGAAGCCAUUCACCUUCACUGCUCCCAAAUCGCUGAGUCUGGAGACCUGUGGAAGUGUUUGACUUAUCAGAAAUGUCCUGAUUUGUCUGGACUAGAAAAUUUAAAAAAAGAUGACUGCUGCUCACUUUUGCUGAGGACUCAACAGUGGUAGCAGCUUUUAGAGAAACUCCUUCCCUUGGUAAGACAUAAAGUGCCAAUGUGUAAGCAAGUGUCUAAGUAAGAUGCUAUUACCUAAUAGUCCUAGCUCAGCCUGUAGUUCUUUCCCAGUGUAGGGUAAGGUGGGGUGGGGAACUAUAGCAAUUACUUUUGAAGUCCUACUCUCCUUAAAACCUUUGCCAAAAAUACUCCUUGUAUCACUAGCCAUCCCCAGAUAUCAAUGUUACCAAUUUCAAGUACUCAUCACUCCGCUAAGUUCCACAAUGCAAACAGGAAUUGUAUAAAGUAUGGUCUCUACUGAUCUUGACUGGGUAAACAGCAAUUAGAGGAGUGUGUGUGUGUGUGUGUGUGUGUGUGUGUGUGUGUGUGUGUGUAGUAGUGCUAUCUCAUAUCCUUGAUUCUGGCCUGCCCUAUCUAUACAUUCCCCUGUUUCUAAUAUCCCUAGAGAUAUUCCUUCUAGAUUGCCUCCUCCACAUUCAUCUAGCCACAAACAUUGAUUGUUCAGAGCAGUCCAGCAGACACAACAGAUGGACAGAAAGUGGGGGAAUUUCAGACACAAAUCAUAUUCCUCUGAAGUAGCAUAAUAGUUAUACUUUCACAUUGUAUGGUCAGCAUAGCUCAGAUUUAAUUAAAGCACUCAAUCGCACCAUUACCAUUUUUGGUGACAGCUCGGUAUAAAUAUAUUAAGCACAAUUCUUCCCAGGCCCGGCUUGUCAGCACUCUCCUUAAAUGCCCUUUUGUCUUCUCUAGCCUUUUUCGAAAGCCCUGAACUUUUAGCUUAUAAAUGAUUAGUACCUAUACACUUCCACCUCCAAUUCCUAAGUUAAAUUACUGUCUUCAGCCUUUCUUGGGAUUCCUCAGGAGUAAUAUGUCUCUUCCAUUGGACCAUAAUUUUUUCAUUUUAACUUUAAUCAAAACUGCAUUGACAUCUCAACCUCCUUCUUCAUAGCUGGCUUCUUUAUAUCUCCUCUGUCACUGGCAUGGAUAUAAGUUUUCUCUCUCACCUUGUAUCUUGUUUUCUCCAUAUCAUGCUCUCAUUGCUUAGUUCCAUAGUUUCUUACUGUAGCAUCAUUCCCUGCAUUCCUUUAGUUUCUCCAGUUUCUAUUGAAAUUCUUUUUCCUCAUUCAUUUAUUCAAAAAAUAUCUUUUGAGUACAACCUCUGUGCCAGAAAGUGUCCUGGGGGCUUGAGGUACUUCAGUGAACAAAACGGACAAAGAUCACUGCUCUUGCAGGACUUACAUUCAUUUUAGCAGCUGGAGAAAACAAGAUAAAAAGUGAAAAUCCUACAUAGGUGUUACUAGAUUGGGGUUAGUACCUUAGGGAAAGAGAAGUAGAGAAGGGUAACGGGAAGAGGAACAUGGUGGCGUGGCCUCAUGGAGAAAGACGUGCAUUUGGUGAGGGAGUUAACUCAGUAGACAUCUUGGGGAAUAGAAAUCAAGAUGAAGAAACAGCCAGCUGGUUCAAAGUCCUGCAGGCAGAAGAAUGCUUGGCCUUGCCUGAACAUUCACAGAUAAGAAGGCGGCUACUGUAGCCAGAGGAGGGUGAAUCAGGGGGAAAAACAGGGAUUCAUUAACUCAUCUUGAAAAUUAUUUGCCUUCUCUACAUACUGAUGGACUCAGUGUCUCCCACUCAAAGUAGAAUCAUAUCUCUUUAACAUAUCACAAUAUACAUCUGUCUAGGUAGUUCCUAUACAUAUUAAAUUAAGUAGCUGCUGUUUGGUGGGAAUGUAAAUUAUGCAGCCAUUAUGGAAAUCAGUAUGAAGGUUACUAAAAAAAUUAAAAAUAGAACUACCAUGUAGGAAGCAACAUAAGUAUCUCAAAGAGGUUUCUAUGCUCCUAUGUUCACUACAGCGUUAUUCACAAUAGCCAAGAUAUGGAAACAAACUAAGUGACCAUCAAUAGAUAAAUGCAUGAAGAAAAACACGAUAAUAUUGUUCAGCUGCAAAAAGAAGGAAACCCUGCCAUUUGUGAUGACAUGAAUGAAACUGGGAGACAUUUUGCUAAGUGAAAUAAAUCA
This is a long non-coding RNA of Sapajus apella (tufted capuchin), 4394 nucleotides long. RefSeq lists it as uncharacterized. NCBI's taxonomy places the organism in Eukaryota, Metazoa, Chordata, Mammalia, Primates, Cebidae. The record is from RefSeq and is a predicted model, not a curated record. The transcript is spliced from 4 exons.